Long non-coding RNA from Cololabis saira (Pacific saury), 409 nucleotides. RefSeq lists it as uncharacterized. The transcript has 3 exons. The record is from RefSeq and is a predicted model, not a curated record. Lineage: Eukaryota; Metazoa; Chordata; Actinopteri; Beloniformes; Belonidae.
UCUAUUUUCUCCACACAAAAAUAAAUAAAAGGUUGCUUUGGGGUUUGAGUUUGUUUUUAAUCAACUAAUGGCUCCUCUCUUUCCCAACAGUAUCAAUUCUCCACAUAACCUUGCAGUUACGACAUACAUGUUGGAGCAGGUCGGCAUUGCUUUUCCUGACACAGACAGCGACGUGAUAACAGCUGCUUGCAAGACUUAUUUUGAGUCUUUGAAAAGGAGCCAUCGUCUCGAUCAGCCAGAAAAUGCUCCCCAGAAAAAGAAAUUAAACAAUGCAAUGAAGACUAGACAACGGAAAACAAGGUUGCUGGCCUCCAGGGCUAGAUGUGUACAGACUCCCGCUGAAAUGGCUGUGUGGGCGCAUGCAACCCUUGACCUGAUGUCAGAAGAAGAAGAUGGCGUCGUAGAUGGA